RNAcentral lists this unclassified non-coding RNA (206 nucleotides) under soil metagenome. RNAcentral describes it as "partial internal transcribed spacer 1". The record is from RNAcentral.
AUGAAUUGUCAAGGGGGGGUUGUUGCUGGCCUCUCAUCUGAUAAGCAUGUGCACGCCCCCUUUUUACAUCCAUCCACACCUGUGCACCCUCUGUAGUUCCAAAGUGGGAGAGCCCAUAAGGCUUUCACAAUCUGGCACUAUGUCUCUUUACAAACGCUUUAUGUAUAGAGUGUCGGCUCAGCGUAUAUAAACGCAGAAAUAUAAAA